UUUGCUUUAGAACUUUGAACUUUCCCCUUUUCUAAAACUAUUCCUUGGGUCUAAGGAAGGCACUUGCGAAAAGUGCAUUUUCUUUUAAAGGUUUUUAUUUAUUAGAGAGAGAGAGAGAGAGAGAGAGAGAGGGAGGGAGCACACAAGUGGGAAGGAGAGGAAGAAGCAGACUCCCUGUGAGCAAGGAGCCUGAUGCAGGACUCGAUCCCAGGACCCUGGGAUCACCACCUGAGCCAAAGGCCGACAUGCAACCAACCGAGCCGCCCAGGCGCCCUGAAAAGUGCAUUUUCUGAUUAUCAUGUCUCAGAUUCCCAUUUAGAAGCAGGAGUUUUCUAAUUUACAAUUCUCUUUCAUUUCUCUUGAACCCUUUCUAGAAUCCGCUGGCCAGUGGGCUCCAUGGACUCCAACAAGAGAAUCAGGGCACAGCCUUUGGGAGAAAUGAUGCCAUUAUCUUUUUUUUUUUUUUAAGAUUUUUUUAUUUACUUAUUCAUAGAGACAGAGAGAGAGGCAGAGACACAGGCAGAGGGAGAAGCAGGCUCCAUACAGAGAGCCUGACGCGGGACUCGAUCCAGGGUCUCCAGGAUCCCGCCCUGGGCUGCAGGCAGCGCCAAACCGCUGCGCCACGGGGGCUGCCCCUGAUGCUAUUAUCUUACAGGAGGGUAACUUUCCCGUGGGGGACCUCCCCCAACACUGAAUCUCGGCUUCCCUUUUGCAAAACCAUACCCUAAAUGUUUCAUUUUUUAAAAAAAUUAAGAUUAGCAACAUUCAGCACUCCCCCCUCCUUAUGCCUGUUCUUACCCUAUUCCUGUUGUAUGUGAACUUGUUUUUCUUAUUAUGAGACAGCUGAGAAUAUCAAUUCAAAUAACCUAUCAAUGUCAUUCUAAAAUCAUAAGUUCUACACUAUUAGACUACAUUGACUUGCACCAUUUAGAAAACACCAUUUUGGGGGAGAAUAUAUUUGUUAUGACUGAAUAAAUACGUGUCCUUAGUGUAGUCUCACUGUACAGAGAUGUCACUCCCCUACGUAAAAUCUUCCAGCAACUCUCCACCGUAUUUAGAAUAAAAUCCAAAAUUUCCUCAUCAUUUACAGGGCCUUGGUGAUGUGGCCUCUCCCCACCUCUCAGACCUCAGCUCCUCCCACAUAUGCUCCAGCCAGAAGCCUCUGUUCUCCCCCAACACACCAACCCCGUUCCCACCUGAGGCCUUUGCACUUGCUAAUUCUCUCUGCCCGCCACAUGGCGAUCUAGACCCUCAAGGGACUUGCCUUUUUCUCCUCAUUGAGGUCACAUCUCAUUCCAAACCCAGUGGAUUCUAUAUCCUAAAAAUUUCUUGAAUACCUAAUUUUGCCUUUGAACCCAAAGAAUCUUUGCCACAGCCCUUGGCUCACAUUUUCAUCGUGGUUCCACGAUACGGUGGAACCUACACUGUACUCCUAUUGUCCUCCUCAUAGGCCAUUUUCCUUCAUACUUCCUCACCUUCUGCAGGUAUCUUCUCUGCCUGACAUUUUUUCCCUCUUCUUUACCUGGUUAGCGUACACGCUUAAGACCUAGCUCAAAUGCCAUCUCCUCCCAAAAACCUCUCUUGAUCUGUCCCCCACUCCGAGUUAACUGAGUCUAAUGUAUUCUCUGUGGCGUUAUACUAGUCAUGCUAACUUGUCCAAAUGCCCUACACGACAGAGAGCGAACCAAACCCCACGCUUCCCACCAAUUGUACAUAUGGGGGUAACGCAGAAGUGGAUGACCCUCAGGGAUUACAUUUUCCAGCCUCCCCUGCAUCUCGGGGUGGCCACACGGUUAGAUCCUGCCAAUGGAAUGUGAAAAGAAGUGAGACAUUCUACUUCCAGGGCUGAGGCCUUUAAGAAGCAGACCUACCUCCUCCUGUCUCUGUCCUUCAGGCUUGAUGCAGGUGACAGCAAGGACUUCUGGAUGGUGGAGCCACAAGAUGGACGGACCUGGCCUUCAAACUGGAACACCUGGCCUUGACAGUUAUGGCAGAAAUAAACAACUUCCAGGAAUCUCCAACUUAUUUUGUUGUAAAGAAAGUUGUUAAGAAAAAUACAAUAACCAGGGAUCCCUGGGUGGGCAGAGUGUAAUUUAUUAUUGCUUAUAUUCAUUAUUCAUUAACUAUAUAUUUAUUUUUUUAAAAAAUCUUUUAUUUAUUUAUUCAUGAGAG
This 2172-nucleotide long non-coding RNA is filed under the name Canis lupus familiaris (dog). Its description in RNAcentral is "lncRNA (ENSCAFG00845009784.1)". The record is from RNAcentral. Lineage: Eukaryota; Metazoa; Chordata; Mammalia; Carnivora; Canidae.